Molecule: ribosomal RNA, 225 nt
Filed under: Triticum aestivum (bread wheat)
Lineage: Eukaryota; Viridiplantae; Streptophyta; Magnoliopsida; Poales; Poaceae
Description: partial small subunit ribosomal RNA
Source: RNAcentral
AUGAGCAGCUCCGUGCUCUUCUGGUACUUGCGGAUCUCGCGGAGCGCGACGGUGCCGGGGCGGAAGCGGUGCGGCUUCUUCACGCCGCCGGUGGCCGGGGCGGACUUGCGCGCCGCCUUGGUCGCCAGCUGCUUCCGCGGCGCCUUGCCGCCGGUGGACUUCCUCGCCGUCUGCUUCGUGCGGGCCAUCGGGGCGGGCAGGCGGGCGCGGCGGGCUCAGGGUUGA